Molecule: ribosomal RNA, 451 nt
Filed under: uncultured Anaerolineaceae bacterium
Lineage: Bacteria; Bacillati; Chloroflexota; Anaerolineae; Anaerolineales; Anaerolineaceae
Description: bacterial SSU rRNA
Rfam family: Bacterial small subunit ribosomal RNA
Source: RNAcentral
CCCCGCACAAGCAGCGGAGCGUGUGGUUUAAUUCGAUGCUACACGAAGAACCUUACCAGGGUUUUGACAUGCAAGUGGUAGGAAGCCGAAAGGUGACCGACCCUUCGGGGAGCUUGCACAGGUGCUGCAUGGCUGUCGUCAGCUCGUGUCGUGAGAUGUUCGGUUAAGUCCGCUAACGAGCGCAACCCUCGCUGUGUGUUAUAUGUGUCAUACGAGACUGCCGGUAAAAAGCCGGAGGAAGGUGAGGAUGAUGUCAAGUCAGCAUGACCUUUAUAUCCAGGGCUACACACACGCUACAAUGGUCUGUACAAUGGGUAGCCAAGCCGCGAGGCGGAGCCAAUCCUGAAAGCAGGCCUCAGUUCAGAUUGCAGUCUGCAACUCGACUGCAUGAAGCCGGAGUUGCUAGUAACCGCAGGUCAGCAAUACUGCGGUGAAUACGUUCCCGGGCCUU